Molecule: ribosomal RNA, 500 nt
Filed under: uncultured bacterium
Lineage: Bacteria
Description: partial 16S ribosomal RNA
Rfam family: Bacterial small subunit ribosomal RNA
Source: RNAcentral
GACGAACGCUGGCGGCGCGCUUAACACAUGCAAGUCGAACGGAAAGGCCUGCUUUCCCUUGUGGAUUGCGGGUACUCGAGUGGCGAACGGGUGAGUAACACGUGAGUGAUCUGCCCCCAACUUGGGUAUAAGCCUGGGAAACUGGGUCUAAUUCCCGAUAGGACUGCAGGGUGGUGCCUGUGGUGGAAAACGAUCUUCUAGUGGUUGGGGAUGAGCUCGCGGCCUAUCAGCUUGUUGGUGGGGUAAUGGCCUACCAAGGCGGCGACGGGUAGCCGGCCCGAGAGGGAGAAGAGGGACACCGAGAGUGGGACAGAGCCCCGACUCCGACGGGAGGGGGAGGCGGGGAGGGGUGGAGAAGGGGCGGAGGCGUAAUCCAGAAACGCCGAGGGCGGGAUGAGGGCCCCCGGGUUGGGGUCUGAACUUGUACGGGACGGAAAGGAACCGGCUGGUACCGGGGGGAGAUGACGGUAGUGUAAGAAGAAGCACCGGCUAACUACGUG